Non-coding RNA from Nothobranchius furzeri (turquoise killifish), 1573 nucleotides. NCBI's taxonomy places the organism in Eukaryota, Metazoa, Chordata, Actinopteri, Cyprinodontiformes, Nothobranchiidae. The record is from RefSeq and is a predicted model, not a curated record.
UUCUUUAAAAAUUAAAAAUUCUGCCUAAAUACCACAGUAUAGCUCCACCUUCAGCUUAAAACAUAGAAUUUGACUCAUUUUGAAUAAAUUUUAGCCAAUGGCUAAAGAGUAAGAUACUACGUAAACCAGUAGAGUACUACGUAGCAGCUCUGUGUCAACGUUAUAAAAGCAUCGGGAGUCUCGGCCACGCCUUGUGGCGAGUUGGGAGUUGGAUUUGCAAGCGAGUGUAGGAGGCUAGCCGUAGUUCAGCAUUAGCAUAUAGCAUUAGCAUAUCCUAGUCUUUAGCAUAGCUUUUAGUGUUAUACAUACUUAUUUAGUGUUAGCUUGGCUGUUGGAUAUUGUAGUUUAGUUACUGUUUGGCUGUUAGUGUAAUUAGGAAAGUAGUUCGGGUUUAGUGCUCCAUAUCGUGUUAGUAUGGUGAGAUGGUGUAGUGUAGUAUGGUUGCGGAGCUCUGUCAGGUUGCACUCCUUUCCGCUGGACUUAGAAAUUAGGCGCCAGUGGUUGCGUGUCUGGAAAAGAUUCAGCUCCCGCCUGGUGCUGUAGUUUGCAACCAGCAUUUUACCCGCGAUUCUGCACGUCUCCGUUCCAAGAGGGAGGCUGUGCCCACCGUGGCUCUUCCGCGAUUUAGAUACAGCCCACCGACUCUGCUCCCCCACCAUGACGGGCUUCAGUCUGAGGCUAAAUCUACCCAAGACACUGGCUGUCAGACUGAUUUAGUAAUCUGCAAGAAUGCACUUGUCCAGGCUGACGUGGUGUUACCCGUAGCAAAGAGCUCACAGCCUCAGUGUCUUGUGACACAGGGACCAUGACAGAAAUUCAUCUUCCAGAAGGUCCCAGAGCAUCCACACCUCCUGAAAAGACCAAGAUGUGAGCUGUCUGCUGUUGAUUCCAGCUUCCACCUCAGUGACAGUGCAAGCUCAGUUAACUGUUCAAGGUAAAAAAAAUUAAAACAUUUCUGAAUUUUUAAGAUAUUAACAAUUAAAUAAGUAUGUGAUUACAUCAUGAAGGAGGCUACUGAUUCUGGCCCUGUGACACUUGGUGGUGACGUGUGAGCUGAUUCACCUGGUAAAUAACUUUUAAAUUAAAUAUUUUGUUUUUGCUAUCAAAAGUAAAUUAACUAAUAACCUGCAUUACUGCAGGACACUCAGCAAAAUAUGGACUCUACACCAUGAGGCAGGCACACGUUAAUAACUCUAUAAGAGCACAUAAGGUGAGCAACACCACAUAUUAUUUUUAUUACUGUACACUGUCCUGGAUUUGUUUUCUUUCUGCAUGAUUUGUUUUCUUUCUGCAUCUCAUCAUUAGCCUGGCUGAUCACCUGAUAACUCCUGUCAUCUGGUUAUGACAGCAUGAGGAUGUCCUCACACACCUGUCAUCUGGUUAUGACAGCAUGAGGAUGUUCUCACACACCUGUAACCUAUCAGCUCAUCUGGCAGAAUAGAGAGAGAAGAGACAACACCACAUCUCCUGUUCCUGGAAAGCCUUCAGCCAUCCUUCGAUGACUGAGAACCUCCAUCAGCUCUGUCUCCUGUCUGCCUACAAUUAUUAUAAUAAAUAUUGUGUUUGACAAGUU